Molecule: ribosomal RNA, 529 nt
Filed under: uncultured Mycoplasma sp.
Lineage: Bacteria; Bacillati; Mycoplasmatota; Mollicutes; Mycoplasmatales; Mycoplasmataceae
Description: bacterial SSU rRNA
Rfam family: Bacterial small subunit ribosomal RNA
Source: RNAcentral
UACCACGUGAACGAUGAAGGUCUUCUGAUUGUAAAGUUCUUUUAUUUAGGAAAAAAAGCGCGCUAGGAAAUGAGCGCGCCUUGAUGGUACUAAUUGAAUAAGUGACAGCUAACUAUGUGCCAGCAGCUGCGGUAAAACAUAGGUCACAAGCAUUAUCCGGAUUUAUUGGGCGUAAAGGAAGCGUAGGCGGGAAGGUUGAUCCAUUGUUAAAGGCAUUUGCUUAACAAAUGUAUGCGAUGGAGAUCGCCUUCCUAGAAUUAAUCAGGGGGUACUGGAAUUCAAUGUGUAGCGGUGGAAUGCGUAGAUAUAUUGAGGAACACCAGAGGCUAAGGCAAGUACCUGGGAUAUAAUUGACGCUGAGGCUUGAAAGCGUGGGGAGCAAAUGGGAUUAGAUACCCCAGUAGUCCACGCCGUAAACGAUGAGCAUUAGGUAUUUGACGCUAUGUCGAGUGCUGUAGCUAACGCGUUAAAUGCUCCGCCUGGGUAGUAUAUAUGCAAAUAUGAAACUCAAAGAAAUUGACGGGGACCU